CUCUUGACUAAUUACAUAUAUCCAACGUGGAGAAUCAAACGUUUCAAUAUGAAAGCAUGAUAAGUUCGUAAAAAAAAUUAAGCAGUUGCAUUCAUGUCAGGUGCCUCAACAACUUUUUACAGAAGAAAUCGCCAAUGAAAUGCUACAAAACCUCAAAGCAGGAGACUAUGCUUGAAACCAUCUCUUAAGUGGUUUAUUCGCUUGCUUUUCACCUUCAGGUUUCUCAGAACUCUGCUUUGAGAACUUGGAUUUGUAUUGUUCUAUAAGCAUGUCAAGUUUGUCUACUAUGUCCUGCCCUAAGAAAUCUUUUUUUCUUUUUGGGCCUUUUCUUUGAACUUCUUUCUCCCUCUUCUUGUGCUGCCUGGUUUGACACUUCCUCUUUUUGAGCUUCAAACCUGUUUCCUUGGGAAGUUUGCAUUCACUGGUAUUUAUUGUUGCCAUUUGACCUUUGACUGAGCUUCAAAAAUCAGGCUUCCUGAUUCGGUGAGCAUUUCGCUCCUGGAUAGAGCCUUUCAUCUCCUAUUUUGUGCCAGUGAAUUUAUCUUGUGCAGCAGUCUUUGUUUUUCCACUUCCUACAUUUGCUCUUAUGCUUCUCACUUCUUCGUUUUCUGGUGGAAGCUCCCUCAGAAACCAUAACUU
Molecule: unclassified non-coding RNA, 639 nt
Filed under: Hevea brasiliensis (rubber tree)
Lineage: Eukaryota; Viridiplantae; Streptophyta; Magnoliopsida; Malpighiales; Euphorbiaceae
Source: RNAcentral